CAGCCGCGGUAAUACGGAGGAUGCAAGCGUUAUCCGGAUUCAUUGGGUUUAAAGGGUGCGCAGGCGGAUUGGUAAGUCAGGGGUGAAAUCCCACAGCUCAACUGUGGAACUGCCUUUGAUACUGUCAGUCUAGAGUAUAGUUGAAGUUGGCGGAAUGUGUCAUGUAGCGGUGAAAUGCUUAGAUAUGACACAGAACACCGAUCGCGAAGGCAGCUAGCUAAGCUAUAACUGACGCUCAUGCACGAAGCGUGGGGAUCAAACAGGAUUAGAUACCCUGGUAGUCCACGCUGUAAACGAUGAUUACUCGAUGUUGGCGAUACACAGUCAGCGUCUGAGCGAAAGCAAUAAGUAAUCCACCUGGGGAGUACGAUCGCAAGAUUGAAACUCAAAGGAAUUGACGGGGGCCCGCACAAGCGGAGGAGCAUGUGGUUUAAUUCGAUGAUACGCGAGGAACCUUACCUGGGCUCGAACGUAAGAUGACUGUAGGUGAAAGCUUACAUCUCUUCGGAGCAUUUUACGAGGUGCUGCAUGGUUGUCGUCAGCUCGUGCCGUGAGGUGUCGGGUUAAGUCCCAUAACGAGCGCAACCCCUACCUUUAGUUGCCAACAGGUCAUGCUGGGGACUCUAAAGGAACUGCCUACGCAAGUAGUGAGGAAGGCGGGGAUGACGUCAAAUCAGCACGGCCCUUACGUCCAGGGCUACACACGUGCUACAAUGGCCGAUACAGAGGGCAGCUACCUGGUGACAGGAUGCAAAUCUCCAAAGUCGGUCUCAGUUCGGAUCGGAGUCUGCAACUCGACUCCGUGAAGUUGGAUUCGCUAGUAAUCGCGCAUCAGCCAUGGCGCGGUGAAUACGUCCCGGGCCUUGUACACACCGCCCGU
RNAcentral lists this ribosomal RNA (880 nucleotides) under uncultured bacterium. RNAcentral describes it as "bacterial SSU rRNA". It matches the Rfam family "Bacterial small subunit ribosomal RNA", at positions 512 to 1397 of the family's 1533-position model. The record is from RNAcentral.